Homo sapiens (human) is the source of this 3553-nucleotide long non-coding RNA. RefSeq lists it as uncharacterized. NCBI's taxonomy places the organism in Eukaryota, Metazoa, Chordata, Mammalia, Primates, Hominidae. The record is from RefSeq and is a predicted model, not a curated record. The transcript is spliced from 2 exons.
UGCUCCUGCUCCUCUAGGCUUGCCACCAUUCCUGUGACUCGGGUUUUGCUCUGCGCUAGGCUACCACCAUCUCUGCUCUGUACAGACGCUUGGUGAACUGAAACUGGAUUUUUUUUCUUUAAGCAGGAGAACUGCAGUUGCUAGCAGUUUCUAGCAGCAGACACAGAAAGUCACCUUGGAGCAGAACUUCUUUGUUUCUGGAAGGUCAUCAGGCCCUUGCAGUUAAACCAACACUAAACAAAUACACACUGCUACUCUUGCACUGGCCUUGGACUUGGAAAGCAUCUCAAACACAGACACUUCAGGCUGGUGUAACUUGAGGGCGUGGAUGUGAUCUUGCAGGCCCGAGGCUCCCAGUGUCUGACAUGGGGAGCUCCCGAUGAAGAGAUGGCUGGCCUGGUUGCAUGAAGGUUGUCUUGAUGGGAUUCUUGUUCUGGACAUAGAGCUGGACCCUUGGACAACCAAAAUAUCACUUCUGGAGCUCCUGGGGUUCCAUACUGCCUCCCCCUGGUGGGUAGGUAUUUAUAGUGAGUUCUCCCUCAUGCCUGGAGAGUAUUAUAAAAUGGGACUGUUUUCUUGGCCAUUGUCGGAGCAUAUUCAGGACAUUUUACAAUAAGAGAAAAUCAAGAAACAGGGCCAGUUAAUAUGGCGGUGCUAUUUUAGGCAAUAAGGCAAGUCGCAACAGAUACUACACAUCACUGGUAGGUCACAUUCUGUGAACGCAAUGCAAUAGAAGUCAUUCACAAAAGACAGCAAAUGAAAACUUGUAUACAUUCAGGGUUUUUUUCUUUCUUUUUCUUUUCUUUUUUUUUUUUUUUUUUUGAGAUAGGGUCUCACUCUGCCGCCCAGGCUGGAGUGGUAUAGUGGUGUCAUCAUGGCUCACUGCAGCCCCAAACUCCUGGGCUCAAGGGAUCCUCCUACCUCAGCCUCCCAAGUAGCUAAGACUACAGGCAUGUGCCACUAUGCCCGGCUAAUUAAAACUUUUUUUUUUUUCCUGUAGAGACAGGUUCUCACUUUGUUGCCCAGGCUGGCACAUUCAGGGAUUUCAAAAACACAUUUAUUAAUAAUUCAAAUCAAAGAAAAAAUUGUGAUGGAAAUAAUGAAAUAUUUAUGAAUUAAUGACUACUGUGAAAUGCUACACUUCAAAACUUGUGGAUACAACUGAAAUCAACUAGAGGAAAUGUUUAGCUUUAAAUGUAUUCAUCAGAAAAGAAGACGUUUUGAAAAUCAAAAAGUCAAGAGUUCAAUUUAAGGCCAGGCAUGGUGGGAUGGUUCACACCUGUAAUCCCAGCACUUCGGGAGGCCAAGGCAGGAGGAUUGCUUGAAUCCAGGAGUUUGAGACCAGCCUGAGCAACGUAGCGAGAUCCCAUCUCUAAAAAAAUUUUUUUUAAAAUUAGCUGGGCAUGGUGGCAUGCACCUGUAGUCCUAGCUACUUGGAAGAUCCCUUGAGCCCAGGAGUUCGAGGCUAUGUUUGCACCACCUCACUCUGGCCUGGAUGACAGAGUGAGAUGCUGUCUCUUUAAAAAAAAAUUCAACUUAAGAAGUUAGAAAAAUAAUGGAAUAUAUAGCCAAAGAAGGAAAAAAAUAAGGAUAAAAAUUAAUGGACUACAAAACAAAAAUAAUAUUAAAGAGACUCAGUAAAACCAAAACCCGUUCUUUGAAAAGACAAAUAAAACAGACAAACCUCUGCAAAAAGUAAAAAAAAGAGAGAAGUCAGUCAUAAACAAUGCUAGGAAUGAAAAGAAGAUGAUUACCAUGGAUACAAUAGAGAUUUUGAAAAAUCAUGAUAAAAUACUGUGAACAAUUUAUGACUAUUUUACAUUUAUAUGAAAUGGAUUAUUUUCUAGAAAAAUAUAAAUUACUAAAAGAAACUUAAACCAAUCUGAAUAUACCUAUAAGCAUUAGAGUACCUGAAUCAGUGGUCAAAAAUAUAACCUUCAUUCCCUUAAGUUAAUUAAGAUAGGAGGCCCAGAUAGUUUUACUGAGGAGGUUUGUCCACCUUUAAUGAAAAGAUAAGCUCUCACAUACAAACAGUUCCAGCGAGUAGGGGGAAAAACACAUCCAAACUCAUUUAAUGAGGUAGAUUAGUAAAAGUUGAAGACGAAACCAGAGCAGAACAGCACCAUGUAGAGAAAUUUUCAGCCAGUCUCACUUAGGAACAGAAUUGUACGAAUCCAAAAUAAAAUAUUAGCAGAUUAAACCCAGAAAUGUAUUUAAAAGUAUAGCAUGGCUGGGCAUGGUGGCUCACGCCUGUAAUCCCAGCACAUUGGGAGGCUGAAGAGGGCGGAUCCCUUGAGGUCAGGAGUUGGAGACCAGCCUGGCUAUCGUGGCGAAACCCUGUCUCUACUAAAAAUACAAAAAUUAGCUGGGCAUGGUGGUGCGUGCUUGUAGUCCUAGCUACUUGGGAGGCUGAGGCAGGAGAAUCGCUUGAACCUGGGAGGCGGAGGUUGCAGUGAGCCAAGAUCGCGCCACUGUACUCCAGCCUGGGCAACAGAGCGACACCCUGUCUCAAAAAAAAAAAAAAAAAGAAAAAGUAUAACAUGACCAGGAAGGUGUUAUCCCACAAAUAAAAGGUUGAUUCAACAUCAGACAAUCUAUUAAAGAAAUGUACCACUUCAGCAGAUUAGUGGAGGAGAAAACAUGAUUAUCUCAACAGAUGAAAAAAAAGCAUUUGCUCUCUAUAAUUUGAUUCAAUUUAAUUAAAAGACAGAAUCCAAAACAAAGAAAACAAAACAAAAACCAAACCACCCUCCUUUCCAUGAUUACCUCUGUUGUCUGCUCCCGUCCAUUUCUCCCUUUCCUUGUCAUACUGUAUCUUUCCUGCUCUUCUUUUUCCUUUAGAAACUCACACACCGUCAUGGGUAAUGCCUUUGCCUUGUUACCUCUGCAUGGAAUAUUCUGUUCUCAGAGCUUCCCAGGGCUCCCUCUUGUCACUUAGGUAUCAACACAGCUGUCAUCUUCUGGGGCCUUGCUCAGACCCAUCUCUAACUAACCAGCCCUCUACUGCAAGUUGCCCAGUUUUAUUUCCCCCUGAACAUUGAUGAUGGACAUUGCCUUGCUUAUUUACAUGUUUGCUUAUUCAGGAUCUCCCGCUUCAAACGUGAGUUGUCCAGGACAGUGGGACCCUGUCUCUCCACUGCCCAGAACAAAACUGGGCAACUUUCAGGUGCCAAGGAAAUGUUUGCUCUAUUAACUGGCUCUGUUUCCUUGGCCAUUAUGGGGUCUUCUCGGGAAAUUUUAUAAUGUGAGCAAAUCAAACCGAUUAAUUUUUCAAAUGUACUGUAAUAUUUGGGACUACAUUUAACAGCAAAGUUGAUAGGUUGCACUUUGUAGACACGAGUUUCAGAUUUAUUGAUUUUGAUUUUGCAGUUUUCUUUUGGUAUUUGGGGUUGAAAACAACCUUUAACCUUUUCAUAAUUUUACCAAACUCGUAAACUAGGCCCUUUGCCUGUCAUCUCUAAUGGAAAAUGGACCUGUUUGGGGCAGUUAUGCCAUGUUUGUCUCUUUCUCUUUGUUUGUGCUUCCAAUAAAUGGAAUUUAUUUCAUUUUAAAA